AUUAAACCUGACAUGCUUAACAUUGACAUGUUCAUAUUACACUAACAAGCUUAAACCUAACAUGCUGAACACCUUCUUAACACCUUCACUCCUCCUUCUUCUCCUUCAUCAACCUGAUGCGCUCAGAGUGGCGAAUCCCAACGCGGAUGUACUCCUCUACCACAAUUGGCAUGGUCCUGUCGCCAAGCUGUGGGAUUGCAGGCGCCGCCACCAUCGUGAGGUCGUCGUCCACCACCACCAUCGCGAGGUCGUCGUCCGCCACCAGCAUCGCGAGGUCGUCGUCCGCCACCACCAUAGCAAGGUCGUGGUCCGCCACCACCAUAGCAAGGUCGUCAUCCGCCACCAACAUAGCAGGGUCGUCGUCAGCCACCACCAUAGCAUGUUCGUCGUCAGCCAGAAUAGGCUGCUCCUCGUCAUCCCCGCUCUGCU
RNAcentral lists this long non-coding RNA (429 nucleotides) under Triticum aestivum (bread wheat). RNAcentral describes it as "long non-coding RNA (TAES_LNC004961)". Lineage: Eukaryota; Viridiplantae; Streptophyta; Magnoliopsida; Poales; Poaceae. The record is from RNAcentral.